ACAGGCUAGCGGCGGACGGGUGAGUUAACACGUGGGUAACCUGCCCAAGAGAUCGGGAUAACACCUGGAAACAGAUGCUAAUACCGGAUAACAACAGAUGAUGCCUAUCAACUGUUUAAAAGAUGGUUCUGCUAUCACUCUUGGGAUGGACCUGCGGUGCAUUAGCUAGUUGGUAGGGGUAAUGGCCUACCAAGGCGAUGAUGCAUAGCCGAGUUGAGAGACUGAUCGGCCACAUUGGGACUGAGACACGGCCCAAACGUCCUACGGGAGGCAGCAGUAGGGGAAUCUUCCACAAUGGACGCAAGUCUGAUGGAGCAACGCCGCGUGAGUGAAGAAGGGUUUCGGCUCGUAAAGCUCUGUUGUUGGUGAAGAAGGACAGGGGGUAGUAACUGACCUUUGUUUGACGGUAAUCAAUUAGAAAAGUCACGGGCUAACUACGUGCCCAGCAGCCGCGGGUAAAU
This 461-nucleotide ribosomal RNA is filed under the name uncultured Lactobacillus sp. RNAcentral's name for it is "bacterial SSU rRNA". It matches the Rfam family "Bacterial small subunit ribosomal RNA", at positions 87 to 526 of the family's 1533-position model. The record is from RNAcentral. Lineage: Bacteria; Bacillati; Bacillota; Bacilli; Lactobacillales; Lactobacillaceae.